AAAAACAAAAAAGCGCCUGAGCCUUUCCGACAAGAAAGGUUGACGAGGAAUGGAAUGAUCGAGAUAUUCGGCGGAUAUUCCAUAGGUAUCACAGCCUUAGAACAACACAAAACACAGGAGUAAUCUUGUGAACAAAACUUGUUCCGUGACUUUCU
Regulatory RNA element from Filifactor alocis ATCC 35896, 155 nucleotides. It matches the Rfam family "glmS glucosamine-6-phosphate activated ribozyme aptamer". From Rfam's summary of the family: This entry contains a glucosamine-6-phosphate activated ribozyme that is found in the mRNA for GlmS. GlmS is an enzyme that uses fructose-6-phosphate and glutamine to generate glucosamine-6-phosphate. NCBI's taxonomy places the organism in Bacteria, Bacillati, Bacillota, Clostridia, Peptostreptococcales, Filifactoraceae. The record is from Rfam.